GGUGGUUCAGUGGUAGAAUGCUUGCCUUGCAUGCAUGUGGUCCUGGGUUCGAUUCCUCAGCACCA
Molecule: transfer RNA, 65 nt
Filed under: Dipodomys ordii (Ord's kangaroo rat)
Lineage: Eukaryota; Metazoa; Chordata; Mammalia; Rodentia; Heteromyidae
Rfam family: tRNA
About the family: Transfer RNA (tRNA) molecules are approximately 80 nucleotides in length. Their secondary structure includes four short double-helical elements and three loops (D, anti-codon, and T loops).
Source: Rfam by way of RNAcentral